This 484-nucleotide ribosomal RNA is filed under the name uncultured bacterium. RNAcentral's name for it is "partial 16S ribosomal RNA". It matches the Rfam family "Bacterial small subunit ribosomal RNA", at positions 30 to 507 of the family's 1533-position model. The record is from RNAcentral.
AUUGAACGCUGGCGGCAGGCCUAACACAUGCAAGUCGAGCGGAUGAAGGGAGCUUGCUCCUGGAUUCAGCGGCGGACGGGUGAGUAAUGCCUAGGAAUCUGCCUGGUAGUGGGGGAUAACGUCCGGAAACGGGCGCUAAUACCGCAUACGUCCUGAGGGAGAAAGUGGGGGAUCUUCGGACCUCACGCUAUCAGAUGAGCCUAGGUCGGAUUAGCUAGUUGGUGGGGUAAAGGCCUACCAAGGCGACGAUCCGUAACUGGUCUGAGAGGAUGAUCAGUCACACUAGAACUGAGACACGGUCCAGACUCCUACGGGAGGCAGCAGUGGGGAAUAGUGGACAAUGGGCGAAAGCCUGAUCCAGCCAUGCCGCGUGUGUGAAGAAGGUCUUCGGAUUGUAAAGCACUUUAAGUUGGGAGGAAGGGCAGUAAGUUAAUACCUUGCUGUUUUGACGUUACCAACAGAAUAAGCACCGGCUAACUUCGUG